GCCGGAGUGGCGAAACUGGUAGACGCAAGGGACUUAAAAUCCCUCGGAACGCAGUUCCGUCCGGGUUCGAUUCCCGGCUCCGGCACCA
Molecule: transfer RNA, 88 nt
Filed under: Nitrospirota bacterium
Lineage: Bacteria; Pseudomonadati; Nitrospirota
Description: tRNA-Leu
Rfam family: tRNA
About the family: Transfer RNA (tRNA) molecules are approximately 80 nucleotides in length.
Source: RNAcentral